RNAcentral lists this ribosomal RNA (1364 nucleotides) under uncultured bacterium. RNAcentral describes it as "bacterial SSU rRNA". It matches the Rfam family "Bacterial small subunit ribosomal RNA", at positions 27 to 1381 of the family's 1533-position model. The record is from RNAcentral.
GGAUGAACGCUAGCGGCAGGCCUAAUACAUGCAAGUCGUACGGCAACACAGUUGCGAGCAAUCGCAACCGGUGGCGAGUGGCGCACGGGUGAGUAACGCGUAUGUAACCUACCCUUCUCCGGGACAUAACUCCGCGAAAGCGGUGCUAAUAUCCCAUACCAACUCAUCAAGACAUCUUCUUGAGUUGAAAGCAGCAAUGCGGUGAGGGAUGGGCAUGCGUCCCAUUAGCUGGUUGGUGAGGUAAUGGCCCACCAAGGCUACGAUGGGUAGGGGUUCUGAGAGGAAAGCCCCCCACACUGGUACUGAGACACGGACCAGACUCCUACGGGAGGCAGCAGUAAGGAAUAUUGGGCAAUGGUCGAAAGACUGACCCAGCCAUGCCGCGUGCAGGAUGAAGGCCCUAUGGGUUGUAAACUGCUUUUAGCCGGGAAUAAACACCCGUUUUAUAACGGGCCCGAAGGUACCGGCUGAAUAAGCAUCGGCUAACUCCGUGCCAGCAGCCGCGGUAAUACGGAGGAUGCAAGCGUUAUCCGGAUUCACUGGGUUUAAAGGGUGCGCAGGCGGACAUUUAAGUCAGGGGUGAAAUCCUACAGCUUAACUGUAGAACUGCCCUUGAUACUGAAUGCCUAGAGUAAAGCUGAAGUGGGCGGAAUGUGUUGUGUAGCGGUGAAAUGCUUAGAUAUAACACAGAACACCAAUCGCGAAGGCAGCUCACUAAACUUUAACUGACGCUCAUGCACGAAAGCGUGGGGAGCGAACAGGAUUAGAUACCCUGGUAGUCCACGCUGUAAACGUUGUAUACUAGGUGUUAGCGGCUUGUCUGCUAGUGCCGAAGCAAACGCAUUAAGUAUACCGCCUGGGGAGUACGCCCGCAAGGGUGAAACUCAAAGAAAUUGACGGGGGCCCGCACAAGCGGAGGAGCAUGUGGUUUAAUUCGAUGAUACGCGAAAAACCUUACCUGGGCUUGAACUGUGCAUGACCGGCGUAGAGAUACGCUUUUCCUUCGGGACAUGUACAGAGGUGCUGCAUGGCUGUCGUCAGCUCAUGUCGUGAGAUGUUGGGUUAAGUCCCGCAACGAGCGCAACCCCUACUCUCUGUUGCUAUCAGGUAAUGCUGGGCACUCUGAGGGAACUGCCGGUGAUAAACCGGAGGAAGGUGGGGAUGACGUCAAGUCAUCACGGCCCUUAUGUCCAGGGCUACACACGUGCUACAAUGGCCGGUACAAAGAGUCGCAAGACCGCGAGGUGGAGCUAAUCUCAAAAAACCGGUCUCAGUUCGGAUUGUUCUCUGCAACUCGAGAGCAUGAAGUUGGAUUCGCUAGUAAUCGUGGAUCAGCACGCCACGGUGAAUACGUUCCCGGGCCU